RNAcentral lists this transfer RNA (72 nucleotides) under Bos taurus (domestic cattle). It matches the Rfam family "tRNA". From Rfam's summary of the family: Transfer RNA (tRNA) molecules are approximately 80 nucleotides in length. Their secondary structure includes four short double-helical elements and three loops (D, anti-codon, and T loops). RNAcentral also lists the same sequence under 2 other names. Lineage: Eukaryota; Metazoa; Chordata; Mammalia; Artiodactyla; Bovidae. The record is from Rfam by way of RNAcentral.
UCCCUGGUGGCUUAGUGGUAAAGAAUCUGCCUGCCAGUGCAGGAGACACAGGUUUGAUCCCUGGUCUGGGAA